Melopsittacus undulatus (budgerigar) is the source of this 759-nucleotide long non-coding RNA. RefSeq lists it as uncharacterized. Lineage: Eukaryota; Metazoa; Chordata; Aves; Psittaciformes; Psittaculidae. The transcript is spliced from 3 exons. The record is from RefSeq and is a predicted model, not a curated record.
UUGGAAUUCAGCAACCGGGGUGAAGAGGGUCAGAGCAUCAGGGCAGGGGGUGGUGAGCAGCGACCCACGUGUGUGCGUGGCAGGGUUAGAAAUCACUUCUCCGCUGGGCACGCAGGAGAGGAGAGGAAACAGGAGAGAGGGAAAAGAAUCCAAUGCAGCCGCGUCUAACGAAGAGCCCGAGCGCUGCUGCUGCUGCUGCCUCCAAGAGACGGAGAGAGCCGGGGAGGUAAAAUCGCAGUGAUUCAUCGUGGGCAGAUCGGAGGCAGGAAAUGGGAGUUCGCUGCCUGCCCCGUGCCCGCCGCGGGCUCCGGCUCGCCGGGGCCUGGCUGCCGGCGAGGGCCUGAUGCCAACGGGUCGAGCAUCCCUGCGCCACGGACGGAGCCACCGGGAAGAAGGGAAGGAACCGGCGGAGGCCGAGAGCUGGAGCCAAGGGGGUUUUCUGCCUGCGUUUCUCCGGAGCCAUCCGACAGAGCCCGGACCGUGACUGGGGGCCAGAUCCGAGCUCCUGCACCACCCUGGCUGGUUGCGAAUAACCUGGAUGCAGCACCGGAGCUGCUUAACCCCAUCCUGAUCCAACCUUUGCCCCCCAAACCCCACUGCCAUGAAGAAGAAGGCUGCCAAUGGGAGGGGGGCAGAUCCUGCAGCCCCCCAGCAGCGAGCCCGGGGCGUCACCAAGUCAGCAGAGUACGUGGGCUCCUUCGUGGUGGAGGACCUGGACCUGGAGCAGCAAGCAGGGCAGCUGGAGGAGCAGCUGCGGGC